GACGAACGCUGGCGGCGUGCCUAAUACAUGCAAGUAGAACGCUGAAGAGAGGAGCUUGCUCUUCUUGGAUGAGUUGCGAACGGGUGAGUAACGCGUAGGUAACCUGCCUGGUAGCGGGGGAUAACUAUUGGAAACGAUAGCUAAUACCGCAUAAAAUUGAUUAUUGCAUGAUAAUUAAUUGAAAGAUGCAAUUGCAUCACUACCAGAUGGACCUGCGUUGUAUUAGCUAGUUGGUGAGGUAACGGCUCACCAAGGCGACGAUACAUAGCCGACCUGAGAGGGUGAUCGGCCACACUGGGACUGAGACACGGCCCAGACUCCUACGGGAGGCAGCAGUAGGGAAUCUUCGGCAAUGGGGGGAACCCUGACCGAGCAACGCCGCGUGAGUGAAGAAGGUUUUCGGAUCGUAAAGCUCUGUUGUAAGAGAAGAACGGGUGUGAGAGUGGAAAGUUCACACUGUGACGGUAUCUUACCAGAAAGGGACGGCUAACUACGUGCCAGCAGCCGCGGUAAUACGUAGGUCCCGAGCGUUGUCCGGAUUUAUUGGGCGUAAAGCGAGCGCGGGCGGUUAGAUAAGUCUGAAGUUAAAGGCUGUGGCUUAACCAUAGUAUGCUUUGGAAACUGUUUAACUUGAGUGCAGAAGGGGAGAGUGGAAUUCCAUGUGUAGCGGUGAAAUGCGUAGAUAUAUGGAGGAACACCGGUGGCGAAAGCGGCUCUCUGGUCUGUAACUGACGCUGAGGCUCGAAAGCGUGGGGAGCAAACAGGAUUAGAUACCCUGGUAGUCCACGCCGUAAACGAUGAGUGCUAGGUGUUAGGCCCUUUCCGGGGCUUAGUGCCGCAGCUAACGCAUUAAGCACUCCGCCUGGGGAGUACGACCGCAAGGUUGAAACUCAAAGGAAUUGACGGGGGCCCGCACAAGCGGUGGAGCAUGUGGUUUAAUCCGAAGCAACGCGAAGAACCUUACCAGGUCUUGACAUCCCUCUGACCGCUCUAGAGAUAGAGUUUUCCUUCGGGACAGAGGUGACAGGUGGUGCAUGGUUGUCGUCAGCUCGUGUCGUGAGAUGUUGGGUUAAGUCCCGCAACGAGCGCAACCCCUAUUGUUAGUUGCCAUCAUUCAGUUGGGCACUCUAGCGAGACUGCCGGUAAUAAACCGGAGGAAGGUGGGGAUGACGUCAAAUCAUCAUGCCCCUUAUGACCUGGGCUACACACGUGCUACAAUGGCUGGUACAACGAGUCGCAAGCCGGUGACGGCAAGCUAAUCUCUGAAAGCCAGUCUCAGUUCGGAUUGUAGGCUGCAACUCGCCUACAUGAAGUCGGAAUCGCUAGUAAUCGCGGAUCAGCACGCCGCGGUGAAUACGUUCCCGGGCCU
This 1369-nucleotide ribosomal RNA is filed under the name uncultured bacterium. RNAcentral describes it as "bacterial SSU rRNA". It matches the Rfam family "Bacterial small subunit ribosomal RNA", at positions 28 to 1381 of the family's 1533-position model. The record is from RNAcentral.